GAUAAACGCUGGCGGCGUGCCUAACACAUGCAAGUCGAACGCGCUUCGCAAGAAGCGAGUGGCGGACGGGUGAGGAACACGUGGGUGACCUGCCUUUCAGUGAGGAAUACCGGCGAGAAAUCGCCGACAAGACCGCAUACGUUUCUCCAUUCGGUUGGGGAAAGAAAGUCGCAAGACGCUGAAAGAGGGGCCCGCGGCCGAUUAGCUAGCUGGUGAGGUAAUGGCUUACCAGGGCGACGAUCGGUAGCUGGUCUGAGAGGACGAUCAGCCACACUGG
Molecule: ribosomal RNA, 277 nt
Filed under: uncultured bacterium
Lineage: Bacteria
Description: partial 16S ribosomal RNA
Rfam family: Bacterial small subunit ribosomal RNA
Source: RNAcentral